Ceratitis capitata (Mediterranean fruit fly) is the source of this 828-nucleotide long non-coding RNA. RefSeq lists it as uncharacterized. The record is from RefSeq and is a predicted model, not a curated record. The transcript has 2 exons. NCBI's taxonomy places the organism in Eukaryota, Metazoa, Arthropoda, Insecta, Diptera, Tephritidae.
UGUCGGUAUUGCCGAGCGGAAAAGUGAAAGUGAAAGCGAAUGCAACACAGUUCAAGAGUUUGACGUAAAAUGGUUAAAGAAACAAGUAAUUGACACACUCACACAAACAUACAAAGUUAAAUUGUACACCCAGUGUGCUGAAGCAAAGGAAAUUUAACGGAAAAUCUACGAGUUUUACGCGGAAAUUUAAUUUAUUCAACUAAAUAUGCCAAGUAUAAAAAUAAACAUACACAUAUAUAUAUUCACACGAGGAAGUUUUCUCAUUAAAAAAACAAAACCUAUAAAUACAAGAAAAAACUUUGAAGCAUUUACGUCUGCAAACAAGGAUAACACGAAGUUGUGUAGACGUGACUUGGCGUAUUUGUGUCAAGAUAAUGAUUUUUUUUUUUUUUUUUAAUUUAAAUUUUCUUGGCUUCAGCUACUCAUAGCUUUCGUGACUAAAUUUAUACUUAAAUUGACAAACAGUGAAACUUGAGUGUACUGCAGACAAGUCUCCUUCGCCCAAAUCGAUAAUGGCGAGGCUACCAAUGAUACGUUUAAGCAGCAAAGCCGAAUUUCGUACAACGAAGAGUUUUUUUUAUGAUUAAUCAAAAUUCUGAGGAACCGGUAAACUCAUUAUAGACACGGUCACAUUAACAAACCACAGCGGAAGAGUAAACCUCAAUAAAAUUAGAAGCUCGGAGGCAGAGGUUGAUGAGGUUGACGUUAGUGUAGUAGUAACGGCGAAUUUAAGAGGAAAUAUAUUUUUUGAUUUAAAUAUUUAUAUUAAAUACAUAAAAUAGUAAUACAAUUUAAAUAAAUAAAAUAUUUUUAUAAAGAAUAAUCAAA